UAAUGCCGGAUGCUCCAGUUGAUCGCAUGGUCUUCUGGGAAAGCUUUCGCGGUAUGGGAUGGGGUCGCGUCCUAUCAGCUUGACGGCGGGGUAACGGCCCACCGUGGCUUCGACGGGUAGCCGGCCUGAGAGGGCGACCGGCCACAUUGGGACUGAGAUACGGCCCAGACUCCUACGGGAGGCAGCAGUGGGGAAUAUUGCACAAUGGGCGCAAGCCUGAUGCAGCGACGCCGCGUGAGGGAUGGAGGCCUUCGGGUUGUAAACCUCUUUUAUCGGGGAGCAAGCGAGAGUGAGUUUACCCGUUGAAUAAGCACCGGCUAACUACGUGCCAGCAGCCGCGGUAAUACGUAGGGUGCAAGCGUUAUCCGGAAUUAUUGGGCGUAAAGGGCUCGUAGGCGGUUCGUCGCGUCCGGUGUGAAAGUCCAUCGCUUAACGGUGGAUCCGCGCCGGGUACGGGCGGGCUUGAGUGCGGUAGGGGAGACUGGAAUUCCCGGUGUAACGGUGGAAUGUGUAGAUAUCGGAAAGAAACA
This 530-nucleotide ribosomal RNA is filed under the name Bifidobacterium longum subsp. suillum. Its description in RNAcentral is "bacterial SSU rRNA". It matches the Rfam family "Bacterial small subunit ribosomal RNA", at positions 164 to 708 of the family's 1533-position model. Lineage: Bacteria; Bacillati; Actinomycetota; Actinomycetes; Bifidobacteriales; Bifidobacteriaceae. The record is from RNAcentral.